UGAGGAAUAUUGGUCAAUGGGCGCAAGCCUGAACCAGCCAAGUAGCGUGCAGGAUGACGGCCCUAUGGGUUGUAAACUGCUUUUAUGCGGGGAUAAAGUGAGGGACGUGUCCCUCAUUGCGGGUACCGCAUGAAUAAGGACCGGCUAAUUCCGUGCCAGCAGCCGCGGUAAUACGGAAGGUCCAGGCGUUAUCCGGAUUUAUUGGGUUUAAAGGGAGCGUAGGCUGCCCCUCAAGCGUGUUGUGAAAUGUACCGGCUCAACCGGUGAAUUGCAGCGCGAACUGUGGGGCUUGAGUGUGCGGAAAGUAGGCGGAAUUCAUGGUGUAGCGGUGAAAUGCUUAGAUAUCAUGAAGAACUCCGAUUGCGAAGGCAGCUUACUGCAGCACAACUGACGCUGAGGCUCGAAAGUGCGGGUAUCGAACAG
RNAcentral lists this ribosomal RNA (423 nucleotides) under uncultured bacterium. RNAcentral's name for it is "bacterial SSU rRNA". It matches the Rfam family "Bacterial small subunit ribosomal RNA", at positions 355 to 775 of the family's 1533-position model. The record is from RNAcentral.